GACGAACGCUGGCGGCGUGCUUAACACAUGCAAGUCGAACGGAAGGACCCUGAUCUUGUGGGGUGCUCGUGUGGCGCACGGGUGAGUAACACGCGUGUAAACCGCACUUGUCUUUGGGAUAACUUCAGGAAACUGGGGCUCUUACCGGGUAGGAUCUCCUGCUGCACGGGGGGGGUUGGAGAGUUUCGGCGGUUGGGGAUGGACUCGAGGCUUAUCAGCUUGUUGGUGGGGUAGUGGCUUACCAAGUCUUUGACGGGUAGCCGGCCUGAGAGGGUGACCGGCCACAUGAGGACUGAGAGACGGCGCAGACUCCUACGGGAGGCAGCAGUGGGGAAUAUUGCACAAUGGGGGGAAGCCUGAUGCAGCAACGCCGCGUGCGGGAUGACGGGCUUCGGGUUGUAAACCGCUUUCUCCUGUGACGAAGCGUGAGUGACGGUAAUGGGUAAAGAAGCACCGGCUAACUACGUG
Molecule: ribosomal RNA, 468 nt
Filed under: uncultured bacterium
Lineage: Bacteria
Description: partial 16S ribosomal RNA
Rfam family: Bacterial small subunit ribosomal RNA
Source: RNAcentral